ACACCAGCUGGAAGCAGCCCAGCAGACCCCUCUGAACGCUCCCGGCCGGCUGUACGCCGCCCUCCACCCCCCGGAGCAGCUCACCGGGGGGAACCCGGGGAGCCCCGCCGCCGGCGCUGCGCAGGUUUUGGGGUGUGCUCCGAGAGCCCAGCCUGCCGGGCUCCCCCCGGGGAUCCCCCAGCGCGCCGCGGCCGCCCCCCGCUCACCUUCGUGCCGGCUGGGCUGGGCUCGGCUCGGCUCGGCUGGGGCCCGCCGCCCUCCUCCCCGCGGCCGGGUGCCGCGCCGCCCCGCACGGAUCUCCCGCGGCGGCAGCCGCCGCGCUGCCAGCGCCGAGGCGUGAGGGCGGCCCCACGUGCGCCGGCUGCGCCAAUCCGCGCCGCCCGCCGACCGACGGACCCCCGCCGACCGACAGACGGAACCCCGCCGGCCGGCAGGCACCCGCCCUCGGCCCCGGACCCGGCCCCGGCCCCGGUCCCGGCCCCGGCCCGGGCCGGCCUCGAACCGGCGGCGCGGCGGGCGCUGCGCGGUGGAGGUGGCGGCCGCGGGGACAGGAAGCGGCUCCGGGCCACGGGAGGAAACCAACGCGCCGGGACCAGAGUUUGGGACCUGCCGGCGGGGAGGGGACAAAGGAGCCCCGCUGGGCAACCUCAGGGCCGAGCCCCGGCUGCUGGAGUUCGGGCGGACAAAGCUGCGGAGCGGAGUUACUCGCUGAAGCAGCCUUCUUUACCGAAAAACUCGGUAAAGCAGCCUUUUAGCGCUCUCGUGAGUUUCGCAGGAAAACUGGAGCGCGCUCGCUCGCUGUCACAGAGUACCGGCCCCCAGGUGGAACAACAGCACGGAAAGAAACACCGACGGGGAACCUUCCGUCGGGAAAGUAUGGGAGCGACUACUCAGGCUCACCCUGGGACCCUGAAGGCAGCGCCAUCACGUUCUGCUGGAGCAUCAGACCCCGGCCCACAGCCAGAGAUCGAGGCUGGAAACAAAGUUUGUCGCCACACGCUCCGCUCCUGGUGCUAUGAGGUGCCCGGCCCCAUGCCACGGAGCUGGGACUGCUGCCACUCUUCACGGUGGCAGCACUGA
This 1080-nucleotide long non-coding RNA is filed under the name Anser brachyrhynchus (Pink-footed goose). RNAcentral's name for it is "lncRNA (ENSABRG00000011919.1)". Lineage: Eukaryota; Metazoa; Chordata; Aves; Anseriformes; Anatidae. The record is from RNAcentral.